ACAACUAUUGCUAGAUUGAUACAAGAGUUUGAAUGGAGUCUAAAAGAUGGAGAACAAGAAAAUGUUGCAACAAUGGGUCUUACUACUCAUAAACUUCAUCCAAUGCAAGCUAAUAUCAAGCCAAGAAAAUGAUACCUUAAGAUUUUCAACUGUCAACUCUAUGAUAGGGAAGCUAGUUUGUGUUUGAUAGCUUUUGUUAUCAAUGCAGACCUCUUGCUUUAACUUCUCUAGUUAAAGCGCCUUAAAUAUUCUCAACCGUCAACUCUGUGUUUGAUAGCUUUUAUUUUCAACUGUCAACUCUGUGUUUGAUAGCUUUUGAUAGAAAAUGAUGCCUUAAUAAUGAUGCCUUGUGUUUGAUAGCUUUUGUUAUCAAUGCAGACCUCUUGCUUUAACUUCUCUA
RNAcentral lists this long non-coding RNA (400 nucleotides) under Nicotiana benthamiana. RNAcentral describes it as "long non-coding RNA (NBEN_LNC003394)". The record is from RNAcentral. Lineage: Eukaryota; Viridiplantae; Streptophyta; Magnoliopsida; Solanales; Solanaceae.